AGAUGUAAUUUAAAUAAGAACAAAAACGUUUCUCACCAUCCCAUUAAACUCCUUUUGCCUUGAUACGGAUCCUGUAAGAUCCACCUUCAACUAACUCUUCUACCUCCAGUUUCUUGAUUUUUUUUUAUAAUGGUUUUUCUUUUAGAAAUAAAUAUUCUGCUAAUGAAGCAUAUACAGUACGCUGCUAGGUCUACGGGAAGGGAGUAACCUCAUCCCUCUUUCUGUAGCUCCUCUCCUCUCUUUCAUCUGCCUGUUCUCACAGCCAGCCACGCCUCAUUCAUUUUAAAAAGUUCUAGUGAAAAAAAUCAGCUGUACAGUAAAUUAUACAGUGCUAUUCUAAAUAUGAAUUAGGAAGACUGAAGAAAAUUACCCAUUUUAGGUAUAAGUAUGCUUUUGUAGGAUGUUGGAUUAAAAUAAUGGAACAAGACAUAAGGGACUGAGAAGGGAGUAGAGGAAAGUUAAACAUCCCGCAGCCGAGAUUUACCAAUAGCCCCGCCCCUGCCACGCCCUCUGGGCCUGCCCGCCCAACCAGCGCAGCCUCUCCACAGCCCUCAGAGACACACGCGAGCCCUACCCCACUCACGCUCGGGCCCGCCCACCCUCAGGCUAGCGGGUCCGAGACUGCCGGCUGCGGCUCCACCUUCCCGGCCGUUUUGGACCUCACCCUCUCCUCCAUCUCUUCAGAGAGAAACUAAAAUUUCUCCUUCAGGCUGGACGAGGAAGGGACGAGUCCUUCCCUAAACCUGAAGGCACGAGACCUCGCGUCCGCUCUCCGGCGGUCCCUAGUCCGGAAGCGGAAGUGCGUUGGAGUCCUUCGGGGCUGGCACAGCGCGGCGUGACGCGGUGGCGGCGACUCACCGGCCUGCAGCUCCGCCUCCCAGCGGGCGCCUCUGGCCCAGAACUUGCUCUGCGGUAUCCGAGUCUGGCCGACAACAUCGCCGUCCUGCGGGACCGGAGGCCCAGAGGUCCAGUCCGGAGUCUGCAGCGCAGGAGUGCGGUGACACCCAGCCCCAUUCCUCACCUGAUGUGCAGGAGGAGCAUCUAUAUGCCCUGGCCUGCAUCUCACGAAACAUGACUGUGUAUUAAUAAUUACCGUUUCAUUUCAAAUGGUGUGAAAUGAAACAGCUUGCAGCUUGAAAGGUAGGGCAGGGUCUGCACUUGCAAAUUAAUUUGAGUGACUUGUCAAAUUUAUUUUAAAAAUUGAAGGAAUGAGCAAGAUGUAUCUGUAUGCAUAGCCAUAUAAAUUUUUUUUUUGUUUUGUGUUUGGUGACUGACAAAUUGUGAUUCCUAAGCUUAUGCUCUCUUAGCUUCGUUUUGCCUCAAUUCUUUUUUUCCGUUUUUUUCU
Molecule: long non-coding RNA, 1345 nt
Filed under: Cavia porcellus (domestic guinea pig)
Lineage: Eukaryota; Metazoa; Chordata; Mammalia; Rodentia; Caviidae
Description: lncRNA (ENSCPOG00000032783.1)
Source: RNAcentral